RNAcentral lists this ribosomal RNA (587 nucleotides) under uncultured bacterium. Its description in RNAcentral is "bacterial SSU rRNA". It matches the Rfam family "Bacterial small subunit ribosomal RNA", at positions 338 to 916 of the family's 1533-position model. The record is from RNAcentral.
CCUACGGGAGGCAGCAGUAGGGAAUCUUCCACAAUGGGCGAAAGCCUGAUGGAGCAACGCCGCGUGAGUGAAGAAGGAUUUCGGUUCGUAAAACUCUGUUGUAAGGGAAGAACAAGUACAGUAGUAACUGGCUGUACCUUGACGGUACCUUAUUAGAAAGCCACGGCUAACUACGUGCCAGCAGCCGCGGUAAUACGUAGGUGGCAAGCGUUGUCCGGAAUUAUUGGGCGUAAAGCGCGCGCAGGCGGUCCUUUAAGUCUGAUGUGAAAGCCCACGGCUCAACCGUGGAGGGUCAUUGGAAACUGGGGGACUUGAGUACUGAAGAGGAAAGUGGAAUUCCACGUGUAGCGGUGAAAUGCGUAGAGAUGUGGAGGAACACCAGUGGCGAAGGCGACUUUCUGGUCAGUAACUGACGCUGAGGCGCGAAAGCGUGGGGAGCAAACAGGAUUAGAUACCCUGGUAGUCCACGCCGUAAACGAUGAGUGCUAAGUGUUAGGGGGUUUCCGCCCCUUAGUGCUGCAGCAAACGCAUUAAGCACUCCGCCUGGGGAGUACGGCCGCAAGGCUGAAACUCAAAGGAAUUGACGG